UAACUCAUUUAUUUUAUAGAGUGGUUCCCUGUGUUCUGGUAAAAGCUUUAUUUUCAAGACUUCUUUAUAAAAUAAAAAUGUAAAGAAAAACCUAGCUGUAAGACAAUGUAGCUUUUGAGGCCCUGUAAUUGGAAUGAGUCCACUUUAAAUCCUUUAAUGAGGAUCCAUUGUAGGGCAAGUCUGGUGCCAGCAGCCGCGGUAAUUCCAGCUCCAAUAGUGUAUAUUAAAGUUGCUGCAGUUAAAAAGCUCGUAGUUGGAUCUUGGGAGCAGGCGUGAGGUCCACUGCGAGGCGAGCCACCGCCCCUCCCCAACCGUUAACUCUCGGCGCCCCCUCGAUGCUCUAGCCCUGGAUGUACUACUGAGAAACUAUUUAACAAAUCUCAAAUUAACAGAUUUUUUGUUUAGGACUAUUU
This 413-nucleotide non-coding RNA is filed under the name Gorilla gorilla gorilla (western lowland gorilla). Its description in RNAcentral is "Eukaryotic small subunit ribosomal RNA". It matches the Rfam family "Eukaryotic small subunit ribosomal RNA", at positions 436 to 804 of the family's 1831-position model. Lineage: Eukaryota; Metazoa; Chordata; Mammalia; Primates; Hominidae. The record is from Rfam by way of RNAcentral.